CCUACGGGUGGCAGCAGUGGGGAAUAUUGCUCAAUGGGGGAAACCCUGAUGCAGCGACGCCGCGUGAAGGAAGAAGUAUCUCUGUAUGUUAACCUCCAUUUGUAGGGAAGUAAAUUACGGUACGUGACUAAUUUUGUCUGGCCAACUUCGUUCCAGCAGCCGCGGUUCCAUGCCGGGGGCGAGCGUAAUCCGGAUUUACCGGGUGUAAGGGGAGCGUAGGCGGUUUAGCAAGUCAGUAGUGAAAGUCUGCGGCUCAACUCCGGGACUGCUGUUGAAACUGUUGGACUAGAUUGCAGGAGAGGUAAGUGGAAUUCGUGGUGUAGCGGUGAAAUGCAUAGAUAUUAGGAAGAACACCGAUGGCGAAGGCAGCUUACUGGACUGUAAAUGACGCUGAGGCUCGAAAGCGUGGGGAGCAAACAGGAUUAGAUACCCUGGUAGUC
Molecule: ribosomal RNA, 440 nt
Filed under: uncultured bacterium
Lineage: Bacteria
Description: partial 16S ribosomal RNA
Rfam family: Bacterial small subunit ribosomal RNA
Source: RNAcentral